This 346-nucleotide ribosomal RNA is filed under the name uncultured fungus. RNAcentral's name for it is "SSU rRNA". It matches the Rfam family "Eukaryotic small subunit ribosomal RNA", at positions 20 to 370 of the family's 1831-position model. The record is from RNAcentral. Lineage: Eukaryota; Fungi.
GUAGUCAUAUGCUUGUCUCAAAGAUUAAGCCAUGCAUGUCUAAGUAUAAGCAAUCUAUACAGUGAAACUGCGAAUGGCUCAUUAAAUCAGUUAUCGUUUAUUUGAUAGUACCUUACUACUUGGAUAACCGUGGUAAUUCUAGAGCUAAUACAUGCUAAAAACCCCGACCUCUGGAAGGGGUGUAUUUAUUAGAUAAAAAACCAAUGUCUUCGGACUCUUGGGUGAUUCAUGAUAACUUUACGAAUCGCAUGGCCUUGCGCCGGCGAUGGUUCAUUCAAAUUUCUGCCCUAUCAACUUUCGAUGGUAGGAUAGUGGCCUACCAUGGUUUCAACGGGUAACGGGGAAU